AGGAGCUGGAUGAGAAAAAACUCUCAUGUCCGGUUCUGCAGUAGAGAUGGGAUUAAAGCACUACCAUCAACUAUAAC
Non-coding RNA from Amborella trichopoda, 77 nucleotides. The record is from Rfam. Lineage: Eukaryota; Viridiplantae; Streptophyta; Magnoliopsida; Amborellales; Amborellaceae.